This 938-nucleotide ribosomal RNA is filed under the name Clostridioides difficile. RNAcentral's name for it is "partial 23S ribosomal RNA". It matches the Rfam family "Bacterial large subunit ribosomal RNA", at positions 1772 to 2708 of the family's 2925-position model. The record is from RNAcentral. Lineage: Bacteria; Bacillati; Bacillota; Clostridia; Peptostreptococcales; Peptostreptococcaceae.
GGUGGCCGCAGAGAAUAGGCCCAAGCGACUGUUUACCAAAAACAUAGGUUUCUGCUAAGUCGCAAGACGAUGUAUAGGAGCUGACGCCUGCCCGGUGCUGGAAGGUUAAGGGGAUCUGUUAGAGCAAUCGAAGCAGUGAACUUAAGCCCCAGUAAACGGCGGCCGUAACUAUAACGGUCCUAAGGUAGCGAAAUUCCUUGUCGGGUAAGUUCCGACCCGCACGAAAGGCGUAACGAUUUGGGCACUGUCUCAACAACAGACUCGGUGAAAUUGUAAUUCCGGUGAAGAUGCCGGAUACCUGCGACAGGACGGAAAGACCCCAUGGAGCUUUACUGUAGCUUGACAUUGGGUCUUGGUACUACAUGUACAGGAUAGGUGGGAGGCUUUGAAACCAGGACGCCAGUUUUGGCGGAGCCAUCCUUGGGAUACCACCCUUGUAGUACUGGGACUCUAACCAUAGGCCAUGAAUCUGGUCUUGGGACACUGUCAGGUGGGCAGUUUGACUGGGGCGGUCGCCUCCCAAAAGGUAACGGAGGCGCUCAAAGGUUCUCUCAGUACGGUCGGAAAUCGUACGUAGAGUGUAAAGGCAAAAGAGAGCUUGAUUGCAAGACAUACAGGUCGAGCAAGGAUGAAAAUCGGACUUAGUGAUCCGGUGGUUCUGCGUGGAAGGGCCAUCGCUCAACGGAUAAAAGCUACCCUGGGGAUAACAGGCUUAUCUCCCCCAAGAGUCCACAUCGACGGGGAGGUUUGGCACCUCGAUGUCGGCUCAUCACAUCCUGGGGCUGUAGUAGGUCCCAAGGGUUGGGCUGUUCGCCCAUUAAAGUGGUACGCGAGCUGGGUUCAGAACGUCGUGAGACAGUUCGGUCCCUAUCCGUCGCAGGCGUAGGAAAUUUGAGAAGACCUGUCCUUAGUACGAGAGGACCGGGAUGGACGUACCU